GGCGGCGUGCUUAAACAUGCAAGUCGAACGAAAAUACCAAGCUUGCUUGGUUGAUUAGUGGCGAACGGGUGAGUAACACGUGAGUAACCUGCCCCUUACUUUCCUGGAUAACUGCUCGAAAGGGUAGCUAAUACGGGAUAUUCUGGCCUUCCUGCAUGGGUUGGUUUGGAAAGGUUGUUUUUCUGGUGAGGGAUGGGCUCGCGGCCUAUCAGCUUGUUGGUGGGGUGAUGGCCUACCAAGGCUUUGACGGGUAGCCGGCCUGAGAGGGUGGACGGUCACACUGGGACUGAGAUACGGCCCAAACUCCUACGGGAGGCAGCAGUGGGGAAUAUUGCACAAUGGGCGCAAGCCUGAUGCAGCGACCCCCCGUGAGGGAUGAAGGCCUUCGGGUUGUAAACCUCUUUCGUCAGGGAACAAGGCAUUGCYUUUUUUGG
This 434-nucleotide ribosomal RNA is filed under the name Actinomyces graevenitzii. Its description in RNAcentral is "bacterial SSU rRNA". It matches the Rfam family "Bacterial small subunit ribosomal RNA", at positions 38 to 466 of the family's 1533-position model. The record is from RNAcentral. Lineage: Bacteria; Bacillati; Actinomycetota; Actinomycetes; Actinomycetales; Actinomycetaceae.